AAACAUCGCCUCUUGAACACCCUAUAUAAGAGGUCCCGCCUGCCCUGUGAUUACAAAUUUAACGGCCGCGGUAUUUUGACCGUGCAAAGGUAGCGCAAUCACUUGUCUUUUAAAUGAAGACCUGUAUGAAUGGCAUGACGAGGGCUUGACUGUCUCCCCCACCCAGUCAAUGAAAUUGAUCUCUCCGUGCAGAAGCGGGGAUGACCCCAUAAGACGAGAAGACCCUGUGGAGCUUUAGACAAUAAAUAGACCUCGUAAAACAACCUUAAUAAAAAGAAUAAAACAAAAAGGAGCCUAUUUUGCUGUCUUUGGUUGGGGCGACCGCGGGGGAACAAAAAGCCCCCAUGUGGAAUAAGAAGACCUUCUUUCAACCAAGAGCGUCAGCUCAAAGUAACAGAAUAUCUGACCUAAAAAGACCCGGCAAAGCCGAUCAACGGAACCAGUUACCCCAGGGAUAACAGCGCAAUCCUCUCCCAGAGCCCAUAUCGACGAGAGGGUUUACGACCUCGAUGUUGGAUCAGGACAUCCUAAUGGUGCAGCCGCUAUUAAGGGUUCGUUUGUUCAACGAUUAAAGU
This 575-nucleotide ribosomal RNA is filed under the name Microlipophrys nigriceps (black-headed blenny). RNAcentral describes it as "partial 16S ribosomal RNA". It matches the Rfam family "Bacterial large subunit ribosomal RNA", at positions 1811 to 2594 of the family's 2925-position model. Lineage: Eukaryota; Metazoa; Chordata; Actinopteri; Blenniiformes; Blenniidae. The record is from RNAcentral.